GACUGUAUCCUAGACCCGUGGGGCUGGGAAGGGGCGGAGGGGCCAGGCGGGAGGGGCGCCCAGGGCCAGCCCGUGUCGCAGGAUCCUUCACUGAGUCCUUCCACCCGCCAGUCCGCGGGGACAGUGGCGGUCGGGAUGUGGCCGAGCUCUUCUACCGGAAGCUGACGGGACUGCCAGGAGACGAGUCCCCGGUUGUCAUGGUAACCAGCGGCGGGAGGCGGCAUCACGAUGGCCAUCAUUUCAUUCACAUCAGACACAGCGGCCUCUAUUUGGUGGUCACAACUUCAGAAAACGUUUCUCCCUUCAGCCUUCUAGAACUGCUCUCCAGGUUGGCCACCCUUCUGGGCGAUUACUGUGGCUCCCUGGGCGAGGGGACCAUCUUCCGCAAUGUGGCUCUGGUAUACGAACUCCUGGAUGAAGUGCUGGACUAUGGCUAUGUACAGACCACAUCCACGGAGAUGCUGAGGAAUUUCAUCCAGACGGAAGCUGUGGUCAGCAAGCCCUUCAGCCUCUUUGACCUCAGCAGUGUUGGCUUGUUUGGGGCUGAGACACAACAGAGCAAAGUGGCCCCCAGCAGUGCAGCCAGCCGCCCCGUCCUGUCCAGUCGCUCUGACCAGAGCCAAAAGAAUGAAGUUUUUUUGGAUGUGGUCGAGAGAUUGUCUGUACUGAUAGCAUCUAAUAGAUGCGCAUUGGCUUGACAGAAGAGUUUUGUGUGGGGAAGUCAGAGCUGAGAGGUUAUGGGCCAGGAAUCCGGGUCGAUGAAGUCUCGUUUCACAGCUCCGUGAAUCUGGACGAGUUUGAGUCUCAUCGAAUCCUCCGCUUGCAACCACCUCAGGGCGAGCUGACUGUGAUGCGAUACCAACUCUCCGAUGACCUCCCCUCACCGCUCCCCUUCCGGCUCUUCCCCUCUGUGCAGUGGGACCGAGGCUCAGGCCGGCUCCAGGUUUAUCUAAAGUUGCGAUGUGACCUGCCCUCAAAGAGGUAAGAGUGAGGCCGGCGUGGCCGAGUUCAGCUCUGUGG
This 1020-nucleotide small RNA is filed under the name Pongo abelii (Sumatran orangutan). RNAcentral describes it as "retained intron". The record is from RNAcentral. Lineage: Eukaryota; Metazoa; Chordata; Mammalia; Primates; Hominidae.